GAUGAACGCUGGCGGCGUGCCUAAUACAUGCAAGUCGAGCGAACGGACGAGAAGCUUGCUUCUCUGAUGUUAGCGGCGGACGGGUGAGUAACACGUGGAUAACCUACCUAUAAGACUGGGAUAACUUCGGGAAACCGUAGCUAAUACCGGAUAAUAUUUUGAACCGCAUGGUUCAAAAGUGAAAGACGGUCUUGCUGUCACUUAUAGAUGGAUCCGCGCUGCAUUAGCUAGUUGGUAAGGUAACGGCUUACCAGGGCAACGAUGCAUAGCCGACCUGAGAGGGGGAUCGGCCAAACUGGAACUGAGACACGGUCCAGACUCCUACGGGAGGCAGCAGUAGGGAAUCUUCCGCAAUGGGCGAAAGCCUGACGGAGCAACGCCGCGUGAGUGAUGAAGGUCUUCGGAUCGUAAAACUCUGUUAUUAGGGAAGAACAUAUGUGUAAGUAACUGUGCACAUCUUGACGGUACCUAAGCAGAAAGCCACGGCUAACUACGU
Molecule: ribosomal RNA, 496 nt
Filed under: uncultured bacterium
Lineage: Bacteria
Description: partial 16S ribosomal RNA
Rfam family: Bacterial small subunit ribosomal RNA
Source: RNAcentral